AGAGUUUGAUCAUGGCUCAGGAUGAACGCUGGCGGCGUGCCUAACACAUGCAAGUCGAGCGAUUCUCUUCGGAGAAGAGCGGUGGACGGGUGAGUAACGCGUGGGUAACCUGCCCUGUACACACGGAUAACAUACCGAAAGGUAUGCUAAUACGAGAUAAUAUGCUUUUAUCGUAUGGUAGAAGUAUCAAAGCUUUUGCGGUACAGGAUGGACCCGCGUCUGAUUAGCUAGUUGGUAAGGUAAUGGCUUACCAAGGCGACGAUCAGUAGCCGACCUGAGAGGGUGAUCGGCCACAUUGGAACUGAGACACGGUCCAAACUCCUACGGGAGGCAGCAGUGGGGAAUAUUGCACAAUGGGCGAAAGCCUGAUGCAGCAACGCCGCGUGAGCGAUGAAGGCCUUUGGGUCGUAAAGCUCUGUCCUCAAGGAAGAUAAUGACGGUACUUGAGGAGGAAGCCCCGGCUAACUACGUGCCAGCAGCCGCGGUAAUACGUAGGGGGCUAGCGUUAUCCGGAAUUACUGGGCGUAAAGGGUGCGUAGGUGGUUUCUUAAGUCAGAGGUGAAAGGCUACGGCUCAACCGUAGUAAGCCUUUGAAACUGGGAAACUUGAGUGCAGGAGAGGAGAGUGGAAUUCCUAGUGUAGCGGUGAAAUGCGUAGAUAUUAGGAGGAACACCAGUUGCGAAGGCGGCUCUCUGGACUGUAACUGACACUGAGGCACGAAAGCGUGGGGAGCAAACAGGAUUAGAUACCCUGGUAGUCCACGCCGUAAACGAUGAGUACUAGCUGUCGGAGGUUACCCCCUUCGGUGGCGCAGCUAACGCAUUAAGUACUCCGCCUGGGAAGUACGCUCGCAAGAGUGAAACUCAAAGGAAUUGACGG
RNAcentral lists this ribosomal RNA (879 nucleotides) under uncultured bacterium. RNAcentral's name for it is "bacterial SSU rRNA". It matches the Rfam family "Bacterial small subunit ribosomal RNA", at positions 8 to 916 of the family's 1533-position model. The record is from RNAcentral.